Molecule: ribosomal RNA, 301 nt
Filed under: uncultured bacterium
Lineage: Bacteria
Description: partial 16S ribosomal RNA
Rfam family: Bacterial small subunit ribosomal RNA
Source: RNAcentral
CAGCAGCCACGGUAAUACGGAAGGUCCAGGCGUUAUCCGGAUUUAUUGGGUUUAAAGGGAGUGUAGGCGGUCUGUUAAGCGUGUUGUGAAAUUUAGGUGCUCAACAUUUAACUUGCAGCGCGAACUGGCGGACUUGAGUGCACGCAACGUAUGCGGAAUUCAUGGUGUAGCGGUGAAAUGCUUAGAUAUCAUGACGAACUCCGAUUGCGAAGGCAGCGUACGGGAGUGUUACUGACGCUUAAGCUCGAAGGUGCGGGUAUCGAACAGGAUUAGAUACCCCCGUAGUCCCUGUCUCUUAUAU